ACGACACGAGUGGAGCUUGCGCAGAAGAGAGACUGCGAGAGAUCUCUCUCUCUCUCUCUCGUGCUCUUGGCCAGCAGUAGCGGCAGAAAUUGAGAGCAUUCGGCGGCGGGGCCCCGGGAAAAUAGUGGAACAAGAGCC
Molecule: non-coding RNA, 138 nt
Organism: Caenorhabditis elegans
Lineage: Eukaryota; Metazoa; Nematoda; Chromadorea; Rhabditida; Rhabditidae
Source: Ensembl